This 468-nucleotide ribosomal RNA is filed under the name uncultured bacterium. RNAcentral describes it as "partial 16S ribosomal RNA". It matches the Rfam family "Bacterial small subunit ribosomal RNA", at positions 28 to 507 of the family's 1533-position model. The record is from RNAcentral.
GACGAACGCUGGCGGCGUGCUUAACACAUGCAAGUCGAACGGAAAGGCCCUGCUUUUGUGGGGUGCUCGAGUGGCGAACGGGUGAGUAACACGUGAGUAACCUGCCCUGGACUUUGGGAUAACUUCAGGAAACUGGGGCUAAUACCGGAUAGGAGCUCCUGCUGCAUGGUGGGGGUGGGAAAGUUUCGGCGGGUGGGGAUGGGCUCGCGGCUUAUCAGCUUGUUGGUGGGGUAGUGGCUUACCAAGGCGUUGACGGGUAGCCGGCCUGAGAGGGUGACCGGCCACAUUGGGACUGAGAUACGGCCCAGACUCCUACGGGAGGCAGCAGUGGGGAAUAUUGCACAAUGGGCGGAAGCCUGAUGCAGCAACGCCGCGUGCGGGAUGACGGCCUUCGGGUUGUAAACCGCUUUCGCCUGUGACGAAGCGUGAGUGACGGUAAUGGGUAAAGAAGCACCGGCUAACUACGUG